GGUAUUUUAUGUUUAAUGCCUAAUUUCUAGGAAGUGCCAGAUAAAAUAUAUAUUAACUAUUUUGAUUUGAUGUACAAUGAUUUAUAUUCUCAUUUUGAAAAGACACCAUGAAGCACAUAAGCUGUACCAGUAGUUGUUAUCUUUUUUCUAACCAAGUGUUUAAAACAUGGAAGGUUUUUAAAGACAUCACUUUUCAAAUGGUACUUGGAGCUCUUGGUCAAAAAUCAGCUGACUCAUUGGAGAAAUAAGUGGAAUAAACAUAACUGAUCAUUUUCAAUGUUUUGUGGUGGGCAAUAGUGAAAUAUUUGAAAUGGUAAAAAUGGAAAGAGGAACAAGAUAUGACCAGGGAUGACUGACGAUUAACCUUAUGAAAGUAUUAU
Molecule: long non-coding RNA, 380 nt
Filed under: Bos taurus (domestic cattle)
Lineage: Eukaryota; Metazoa; Chordata; Mammalia; Artiodactyla; Bovidae
Description: long non-coding RNA NONBTAT006304
Source: RNAcentral